This 650-nucleotide ribosomal RNA is filed under the name Vibrio antiquarius. RNAcentral's name for it is "bacterial SSU rRNA". It matches the Rfam family "Bacterial small subunit ribosomal RNA", at positions 68 to 711 of the family's 1533-position model. Lineage: Bacteria; Pseudomonadati; Pseudomonadota; Gammaproteobacteria; Vibrionales; Vibrionaceae. The record is from RNAcentral.
UGAACCUUCGGGGAACGAUAACGGCGUCGAGCGGCGGACGGGUGAGUAAUGCCUAGGAAAUUGCCCUGAUGUGGGGGAUAACCAUUGGAAACGAUGGCUAAUACCGCAUGAUGCCUACGGGCCAAAGAGGGGGACCUUCGGGCCUCUCGCGUCAGGAUAUGCCUAGGUGGGAUUAGCUAGUUGGUGAGGUAAGGGCUCACCAAGGCGACGAUCCCUAGCUGGUCUGAGAGGAUGAUCAGCCACACUGGAACUGAGACACGGUCCAGACUCCUACGGGAGGCAGCAGUGGGGAAUAUUGCACAAUGGGCGCAAGCCUGAUGCAGCCAUGCCGCGUGUAUGAAGAAGGCCUUCGGGUUGUAAAGUACUUUCAGUCGUGAGGAAGGCGGUGUCGUUAAUAGCGGCGUUGUUUGACGUUAGCGACAGAAGAAGCACCGGCUAACUCCGUGCCAGCAGCCGCGGUAAUACGGAGGGUGCGAGCGUUAAUCGGAAUUACUGGGCGUAAAGCGCAUGCAGGUGGUUUGUUAAGUCAGAUGUGAAAGCCCGGGGCUCAACCUCGGAAUAGCAUUUGAAACUGGCAGACUAGAGUACUGUAGAGGGGGGUAGAAUUUCAGGUGUAGCGGUGAAAUGCGUAGAGAUCUGAAGGAAUACCG